UGCCCAUGAUCCUUCCUAGCAAAACUCCAGACUGUACUAUUGAAAAGUUUUCGUGUCCUGCCAGACGGCAAAUCAAACCCUAAGAUGUUAGUAUUAUCAGCACCCACCAAUACUUCCGCACUGGUCUGGGGCUUCCCAGAGCCGGGUUGCUUGGGGAUGCAGCCCAAAGAGGGUGAAAAGCUCCAUCUAAGGCUAAAUACUGGUACGAGAUCGAUAAUCAACAAGUACCGUAAGG
Molecule: non-coding RNA, 235 nt
Filed under: Chaetura pelagica (chimney swift)
Lineage: Eukaryota; Metazoa; Chordata; Aves; Apodiformes; Apodidae
Description: Eukaryotic large subunit ribosomal RNA
Rfam family: Eukaryotic large subunit ribosomal RNA
Source: Rfam by way of RNAcentral